This is a long non-coding RNA of Ruditapes philippinarum (Manila clam), 1231 nucleotides long. RefSeq lists it as uncharacterized. The transcript is spliced from 3 exons. NCBI's taxonomy places the organism in Eukaryota, Metazoa, Mollusca, Bivalvia, Venerida, Veneridae. The record is from RefSeq and is a predicted model, not a curated record.
AGAACGUUCGCGAGGUUUGAACCCAUUUUUGAAAAAUAAACACGAUCAUCAAUAAGCCAUUCACAGAAAUAGUCAAAUGCGGUGUGGUACUGACGAAAUUGGUCGUGGAAAUCAAACUCGAAAACAAACGUUGGUCAUGCAUCAAAACAAAUAGAAAUGAGCCGUGUCAUGACAAAACCAACAUAAUGGGUUUGCGACCAGCAUGGAUCCAGACCAGCCUGCGCAUCCGCUACAUGCACUUUUCGGUAGCGUAUAUUCUAAAUCUCAAUAUCAAUUUGUAGGGAAAUUUAUCUUUUCAGUCGGCCUAUCAAUUUUGUAUUACAACUGGUCUAAUUAGUUUGUAAAACAUAUAGGUAAUGUCAGUUCUUAUUGAUAUUUUUGUUGCCUGUAUCUUUAUAAUGUAAUUUAUAUGUUUUGGGAAAGUUUCGUGCAUUGUGUGCAGUCAUUAUCUGAUUUAAAUGCUGCAUAAAUAUUUAAGAAGUUUUGACAUUUAGACUCAUGAUUGAUAUUAAUUGAUUUAAGAUAUAAUCUUAGAGUUUAUGUAUUGUAUUUUUGUGUAUAUAACCGGAUUAAUUUCAUUAACUAUUGUUGUUUAUAUUUAAUCGUGUAUUAUCUAUAUCUUUUAUCUCAUAUAUCAUUUUGGAAUUGCUGUUCAUUUGUGAUGUUCUUUAUUUAUAACUAUUUAUUUAUUUUGAAUUUAUUUUAUUUACACAAGAAUAUGUAACUUGUUAUUCCAUCAGAUUCAUCCGAUACAACUAGAUAUUUCUGAAGUGUAUCUUUUCCAAGUUAAUGAUGCAACACCAUUUUUUAGUCUAUAUCGCCAUCAUAUCACAUGCACUUGCAGUUAAAUUGCUUUAUUUCAAAGGAAUGUUUAAUAAUUAUAAAGAUAAAAAGUUUUAGCUUCAGCAGUAAAUAAGAGUAAAUAAGAUCAUCAAUAAGUCAUCCACAGAAACAGUAAAAUGCAUAUUAAUAUAUGAUGCGUAACGGAGACAUUGGUUGUGGUAAUCAACACAAAUGUUUAUCAGACAUCCAAAUUAUUCGACGGGUUGUCAUUAUGUACAUUUUUAAUCUGGAAUAUUUUUUAAUUUAUAAAUCAAAUUCGAUGUGUUUUAAUCUUUGUUAAUUCAAACUGUUAUAUAUAAAGGACUCUCUUGUUACUUGUGUCUUUUGAAAAGUUUACAUGUAUAUAAUGUGUAUUUGUUUUGGACUGAUUUUUUGCUAAAACAUUGUG